RNAcentral lists this ribosomal RNA (292 nucleotides) under uncultured bacterium. Its description in RNAcentral is "partial 16S ribosomal RNA". RNAcentral also lists the same sequence under 1 other name. The record is from RNAcentral.
GGACUACUAGGGUUUCUAAUCCUGUUUGCUCCCCACGCUUUCGUACCUCAGUGUCAGUGUUGGUCCAGGUAGCCGCCUUCGCCACUGGUGUUCUUCCCGAUAUCUACGCAUUUCACCGCUACACCGGGAGUUCCACUACCCUCUACCACACUCUAGCUCGCUAGUUUCAGAUGCAAUUCUCAGGUUGAGCCCAAGGAUUUCACACCCGACUUAACAAACCACCUACGUACGCUUUACGCCCAGUAAUUCCGAUUAACGCUUGCACCCUCUGUAUUACCGCGGCUGCUGGCAC